RNAcentral lists this ribosomal RNA (460 nucleotides) under uncultured bacterium. RNAcentral's name for it is "partial 16S ribosomal RNA". It matches the Rfam family "Bacterial small subunit ribosomal RNA", at positions 338 to 795 of the family's 1533-position model. The record is from RNAcentral.
CCUACGGGGGGCAGCAGUGAGGAAUAUUGGUCAAUGGGCGGAAGCCUGAACCAGCCAAGUAGCGUGCAGGAUGACGGCCCUACGGGUUGUAAACUGCUUUUAUACGGGAAUAACGCGCCUUACGUGUGGGGCUUUGCAUGUACCGUAUGAAUAAGGACCGGCUAAUUCCUUGCCAGCAGCCGCGGUAAGACGGAGGGUCCGGGCGUUAUCCGGAUUUAUUGGGUUUAAAGGGAGCGUAGGCCGCAUGUCAAGCGUGCUGUGAAAUGCCCGGGCUCAACCCGGGCCUUGCGGCGCGAACUGGCUUGCUUGAGUGCGCGGAACGCAGGCGGAAUUCGUGGUGUAGCGGUGAAAUGCUUAGAUAUGACGAAGAACCCCGAUUGCGAAGGCAGCUUGCGGCAGCGGAACUGACGCUGAUGCUCGAAGGCGCGGGUAUCGAACAGGAUUAGAUACCCGGGUAGUC